AGAGAGAGACAUGCGCGCAUAUCAAUAAGCGGAGGAAAAGAAACUAACAUAGGAUUCCCCUCAGUAACGGCGAGUGAAGCGGGAAGAGCUCAAAUUUGAAAUCUUCAAGGGUUCUACCUUUACGAAUUGUAGUUUAAAGAAGUGUUUUCUGUUGAAGUUUUGGUAAAAGUUCUUUGGAAUAGGACAUCAUAGAGGGUGAGAAUCCCGUAUUUGACCAUUAUUUCCAGCUUUGUGAUACACUUUCAAAGAGUCGGAUUGUUUGGGAAUGCAGUCCAAAAUGGGUGGUAAAUUUCAUCUAAAGCUAAAUAUUGGCGAGAGACCGAUAGCGAACAAGUACCGUGAGGGAAAGAUGAAAAGAACUUUGAAAAGAGAGUUAAACAGUACGUGAAAUUGUCAAAAGGGAAACGUUUGACACCAGUGUUGUUUUCUCGAAAAUCAAUUAAAAAAGGCAGGAUUUUGUGUUGUAUUGACUUUAUCAGCUUUCUGCACUCUUUUCUUGUCUUUUUUAAUGCACUUUUCGUUUAACAAGUCAACAUCAAUUUCUUUUGUUGUAAAAGGGUCAUUGGAAGGUGGCUUUCUUUUCGGAGAAAGUGUUUAUAGCCUUUGGCCUCUGCAAUCGGAGAGAUUGAGGUCUGCAGCGUAGAUCCUUCGGGGUUAGAUACAUUUGUGCUAAGUUAUAGCCUUUCAUAGACAACUUGUUGACUAUGAUCAGUCAUGUAGCUUACUCGCUUAUGCUAUUUUACCUACGCUUAGGAUGUUGAUGUGAUACUGCGAGCA
RNAcentral lists this ribosomal RNA (777 nucleotides) under uncultured Neocallimastigales. Its description in RNAcentral is "partial large subunit ribosomal RNA". It matches the Rfam family "Eukaryotic large subunit ribosomal RNA", at positions 23 to 639 of the family's 3401-position model. The record is from RNAcentral. Lineage: Eukaryota; Fungi; Neocallimastigomycota; Neocallimastigomycetes; Neocallimastigales.